This 299-nucleotide signal recognition particle RNA is filed under the name Saimiri boliviensis boliviensis (Bolivian squirrel monkey). RNAcentral describes it as "Metazoan signal recognition particle RNA (ENSSBOG00000000687.1)". It matches the Rfam family "Metazoan signal recognition particle RNA". Rfam says of the family: The signal recognition particle (SRP) is a universally conserved ribonucleoprotein. It is involved in the co-translational targeting of proteins to membranes. Lineage: Eukaryota; Metazoa; Chordata; Mammalia; Primates; Cebidae. The record is from RNAcentral.
GCUUGGCACGGUGGCAUGUGCCUGUAGUCCCAGCUACUUGGGAGGCUGAGGCUGGAGGAUCGCUUGAGCCCAGGAGUUCUGGGCUGUAGUGCGCUAUGCCAGUUGCGUGUCCACACUAAGUUCGGCAUCAAUAUGGUGACCUUCCGGGAGCAGGGUAUCACCAGAUUGCCUAAGGAGGGGUGAACUGGCCCAGGUCGGAAACGGAGCAGGUCAAAACUCCUGUGCGGAUCAGUAGUGGGAUUGCGCCUGUGAAUAGCCACUGCACUCCAGCCUGGGCGACAUAGCGAGACCCCGUCUCU